RNAcentral lists this ribosomal RNA (484 nucleotides) under uncultured bacterium. RNAcentral's name for it is "partial 16S ribosomal RNA". It matches the Rfam family "Bacterial small subunit ribosomal RNA", at positions 29 to 507 of the family's 1533-position model. The record is from RNAcentral.
AAUGAACGCUGGCGGCAGGCCUAAUACAUGCAAGUCGAGCGGACGAAGGGAGCUCUUUCCUGGAUUCAGUGGGGGACGGGCGAGUAAUGCACACGAAUCUGCCCGGCCGUGGGGGCUAACGUCAGGAAACGGGAGCGAAUAUCGCACACGAUCAGAGGGAGAAACGGAGGGAUCUUCGGUGCACGGCGUCUCAGAUGACCCUAGGUCGGAUUGGCUAGUUGGUGGGGUAAAGGCCUACCAAGGCGACGAUCCGUAGCUGGUCUGAGAGGAUGAUCGGCCACACUGGAACUGAGACACGGUCCAGACUCCUACGGGAGGCAGCAGUGGGGAAUCUUGCGCAAUGGGCGAAAGCCUGAUGCAGCCAUGCCGCGUGUGUGAAGAAGGUCUUCGGAUUGUAAAGCACUUUUAGUUGGGAAGAAGGGCUGUAAGUUUAACCCUUGCUAUUUUGACGUUACCUACAGAGAAAGCACCGGCUAACUACGUG